GACGAACGCUGGCGGCGUGCCUAAUACAUGCAAGUUGAGCGCUGAAGGUUGGUACUUGUACCCACUGGAUGAGCAGCGAACGGGUGAGUAACGCGUGGGGAAUCUGCCUUUGAUCGGGGGACAACAUUUGGAAACGAAUGCUAAUACCGCAUAAAAACUUUAAACACAAGUUUUAAGUUUGAAAGAUGCAAUUGCAUCACUCAAAGAUGAUCCCGCGUUGUAUUAGCUAGUUGGUGAGGUAAAGGCUCACCAAGGCGAUGAUACAUAGCCGACCUGAGAGGGUGAUCCGCCAAAUUGGGAAUGAGACACGGCCCAAACUCCUAAGGGAGGCAGCAGUAGGGAAUCUUCGGCAAUGGACGGAAGUCUGACCGAGCAACGCCGCGUGAGGGGAGAAGGUUUUCGGAUCGUAAAACUCUGUUGGUAGGGAAGAAAGUUGGUGAGAGUGGAAAGCUCAUCAAGUGACGGUAACUACCCAGAAAGGGACGGCUAACUACGUG
This 497-nucleotide ribosomal RNA is filed under the name uncultured bacterium. RNAcentral's name for it is "partial 16S ribosomal RNA". It matches the Rfam family "Bacterial small subunit ribosomal RNA", at positions 28 to 507 of the family's 1533-position model. The record is from RNAcentral.